CAGUUUUCUCAACUUGCUAGGUAUCCGAGGGGGAAACACCAAGGGGGAAGUGAUGUUGAGAUGGAGAAGUGAUUCCACAGAUCAUAUCCACUACUCAAGUGUGAGGCCUUCCUAAGCAGAUAAUUUGGUGUGACUCUCAGAAAAAAAGACAUCUCUGGGGAUGGAGAUAGCCAUGUCUCACUUCUGUGUGAAGGCAGUUCUUAAACUUGUUUGGACCUUUGGCUUUCAGUGCCUACAGGUUUGGAACAGAGAGCAACUCCUGGAUUAUGGGCUUUCAUGGUCUUAAUGGCGUCAUCACUGCAAUUUAAGAAGGCAGCUUUUUUUUGCAUCUUUUCUCUAGAAAGUGGCCUCUCAAAGCUAUCCAAAGUGCCAUAUCUUCAAAGGUAAGGAAAAAUAAACUAAAAACAAAACAAACAAACAAAAAAAACCAAACAAACAGGAGAGUGGAAAGGAUGACAAAGAGGAACAGCUGUGAGACAUGAGAAAGAGGCACAAAAAGAAAUGAAGAAAAGCAAGGCAGAUAGGGAAGUGCAUAUGUAGAAGAAAAGACAGAAAGAAAUGAGAGAAGAAAGCUUCACAAAGAUGCUGAGAGAAACUAAACUGAGAAUAAACAAAGUGAUUCUGAGAAGAAGAAAGUGGGAAAAAGAGUAAAUUGGAGCAGUCACUGAAAAGUGACAUAAGAGAGCCACCUGAGCUCUUGCAGGACAGUGACGAAGAGAUCAGCCCGUUAGUGGCAGUCAGCACUAUACAUCAGGUGUGGUGGCAGCAUCCUAUCUUCUUCCAGGCACAUCCUUGGCCCUCAAUCCUUCCUCCCUAACUGACAUCUGAAAAAAUAAAAGGGUGCUCUCUGAAGUAAAGGGAUAAGUUAGUCCCUGCAGAGUUCAUUUCCUGUUUGUAAAUACCAUUCAUCACAGCAGGAAAGGUCUUCUGUCACCGGCAGGGUGAGAUAUCACUAAGGUCUGAGGACGCCACAACCUGCAUGGUGCUGCCCUCAGCAUAUCUUUUUGUCCUCGUUUUUCUGUUUCAUUGUGACUCUGUCAGUGGCAAUAUCUGUACAGCACAUAGGCUUUCGAAUGACGAGAAAAUGCUUGUUGGAGGCACAGAGAGUUCGUGCCACAUAACAGGAGCCACCUGAUGGAGCCAUCUGAACAGAGAGCUGCAGUGUGCCAACCUCAGAUGGUUAAUGGAGAAGAAUAGUGUCUACAGCAAGUACCUUUGCCUGCCCAGGACCUGACAGGUUUGAAACAAAAGGUCUCAAAUUAAAAAGGCUGAAUGUAUUGUUCAAAUAAGUCCAAA
RNAcentral lists this long non-coding RNA (1296 nucleotides) under Anser brachyrhynchus (Pink-footed goose). Its description in RNAcentral is "lncRNA (ENSABRG00000020245.1)". Lineage: Eukaryota; Metazoa; Chordata; Aves; Anseriformes; Anatidae. The record is from RNAcentral.